This 253-nucleotide ribosomal RNA is filed under the name uncultured bacterium. RNAcentral describes it as "partial 16S ribosomal RNA". It matches the Rfam family "Bacterial small subunit ribosomal RNA", at positions 524 to 776 of the family's 1533-position model. The record is from RNAcentral.
UACGGAGGGGGCUAGCGUUGUUCGGAAUUACUGGGCGUAAAGCGCGCGUAGGCGGCCCUGCAAGUCGGGGGUGAAAGCCCGAGGCUCAACCUCGGAACUGCCUUCGAUACUGCGGGUCUCGAGUCCGGGAGAGGUGAGUGGAAUUCCUAGUGUAGAGGUGAAAUUCGUAGAUAUUCGCAAGAACACCAGUGGCGAAGGCGGCUCACUGGCCCGAUACUGACGCUGAGGCACGAAAGCGUGGGGAGCAAACAGG